Molecule: ribosomal RNA, 407 nt
Filed under: uncultured bacterium
Lineage: Bacteria
Description: partial 16S ribosomal RNA
Rfam family: Bacterial small subunit ribosomal RNA
Source: RNAcentral
GACGAACGCUGGCGGCGUGCCUAAUACAUGCAAGUAGGACGCAGUUGCGAACGGGUGAGUAACGCGUAGGUAUCUGCAUCUUAGAGGGGGAGAACUAUUGGAAACGAUAGCUAAAAUCGCAUACUAGUAGAUGGACCUGCGUUGUAUUAGCUAGUAGGUAGGGUAAUGGCCUACCUAGGAGACGAUACAUAGCCGACCCGGGCGGGGGAUCGGCCACACUGUGACUGAGACACGGCUCCGACUCCGACGGGAGGCAGCAGUGGGGAAUUUUCGGCAAUUGGGGGAACCCUGACCGCGCAACGCCGCGUGAGUGAAGAAGGUUUUCGGAUCGUAAAGCUCUGUUGUUAAGGAAGCGGUACUUAACCAGAAAGCGACGGCUAACUACGUGCCAGCCGCCGCGGUAAUAC